UCUGGGAAACUGCCUGAUGGAGGGGGAUAACUACUGGAAACGGUAGCUAAUACCGCAUAACGUCGCAAGACCAAAGAGGGGGACCCUCGGGCCUCUUGCCAUCGGAUGUGCCCAGAUGGGAUUAGCUUGUUGGUGGGGUAACGGCUCACCAAGGCGACGAUCCCUAGCUGGUCUGAGAGGAUGACCAGCCACACUGGAACUGAGACACGGUCC
This 213-nucleotide ribosomal RNA is filed under the name Escherichia coli. RNAcentral describes it as "partial 16S ribosomal RNA". It matches the Rfam family "Bacterial small subunit ribosomal RNA", at positions 116 to 332 of the family's 1533-position model. The record is from RNAcentral. Lineage: Bacteria; Pseudomonadati; Pseudomonadota; Gammaproteobacteria; Enterobacterales; Enterobacteriaceae.